Molecule: ribosomal RNA, 465 nt
Filed under: uncultured bacterium
Lineage: Bacteria
Description: partial 16S ribosomal RNA
Rfam family: Bacterial small subunit ribosomal RNA
Source: RNAcentral
CCUACGGGAGGCAGCAGUGGGGAAUAUUGCGCACUGGGCGAAAGCCUGACGCAGCGACGCCGCGUGAGGGAUGAAUGUCUUCGGAUCGUAAACCUCUGUCAGCAGGGAAGAACGGUAACUGUUGUAAUCAGCAGUGAAUUGACGGUACCUGCAAAGGAAGCACAGGCUAACUCCGUGACAGCAGCCGCGGUAAUACGGAGGGGGCGAGCGUUAAUCGGAAUUACUGGGUGUAAAGCGCGCGUAGGCGGUAUGUCAAGUCAAGGGUGAAAUCUCCGCGCUCAACGUGGGAACUGCCUUUGAAACUGGCAAACUUGAGUGUGUGAGAGGAUAGUGGAAUUCGAGGUGUAGGAGUGAAAUCCGUAGAUAUCUGGAGGAACAUCAGUGGCGAAGGCGACUAUCUGGCACAUAACUGACGCUGAGGAGCGAAAGCGUGGGUAGCAAACAGGAUUAGAUACCCUAGUAGUC